This 64-nucleotide transfer RNA is filed under the name Heterocephalus glaber (naked mole-rat). It matches the Rfam family "tRNA". Rfam says of the family: Transfer RNA (tRNA) molecules are approximately 80 nucleotides in length. Their secondary structure includes four short double-helical elements and three loops (D, anti-codon, and T loops). Further hydrogen bonds mediate the characteristic L-shaped molecular structure. tRNAs have two regions of fundamental functional importance: the anti-codon, which is responsible for specific mRNA codon recognition, and the 3' end, to which the tRNAs corresponding amino acid is attached (by aminoacyl-tRNA synthetases). tRNAs cope with the degeneracy of the genetic code in two manners: having more than one tRNA (with a specific anti-codon) for a particular amino acid; and 'wobble' base-pairing, i.e. permitting non-standard base-pairing at the 3rd anti-codon position. The record is from Rfam by way of RNAcentral. Lineage: Eukaryota; Metazoa; Chordata; Mammalia; Rodentia; Bathyergidae.
GGGGAUUUAGCUCAGUGGUUCCAGCACCUGCCUCUCAAGCAGAAGGUCCCAAAUUCAAUCCCCG